This 902-nucleotide ribosomal RNA is filed under the name Akanthomyces muscarius. RNAcentral's name for it is "LSU rRNA". It matches the Rfam family "Eukaryotic large subunit ribosomal RNA", at positions 34 to 968 of the family's 3401-position model. The record is from RNAcentral. Lineage: Eukaryota; Fungi; Ascomycota; Sordariomycetes; Hypocreales; Cordycipitaceae.
UUAAGCAUAUCAAUAAGCGGAGGAAAAGAAACCAACAGGGAUUGCCCCAGUAACGGCGAGUGAAGCGGCAACAGCUCAAAUUUGAAAUCUGGCCCUUGGGUCCGAGUUGUAAUUUGUAGAGGAUGCUUUUGGCGAGGUGCCUUCCGAGUUCCCUGGAACGGGACGCCAUAGAGGGUGAGAGCCCCGUCUGGUCGGACACCGAGCCUCUGUAAAGCUCCUUCGACGAGUCGAGUAGUUUGGGAAUGCUGCUCAAAAUGGGAGGUAUAUGUCUUCUAAAGCUAAAUAUUGGCCAGAGACCGAUAGCGCACAAGUAGAGUGAUCGAAAGAUGAAAAGCACUUUGAAAAGAGGGUUAAAAAGUACGUGAAAUUGUUGAAAGGGAAGCGCCUAUGACCAGACUUGGGCCCGGUGAAUCAUCCAGCGUUCUCGCUGGUGCACUUUGCCGGGCACAGGCCAGCAUCAGUUUGGCGCGGGGGAAAAAGGCUUUGGGAAUGUGGCUCCCUCGGGAGUGUUAUAGCCCAUUGUGUAAUACCCUGCGCCGGACUGAGGUACGCGCAUUGCAAGGAUGCUGGCGUAAUGGUCAUCAGCGACCCGUCUUGAAACACGGACCAAGGAGUCGUCUUCGUAUGCGAGUGUUCGGGUGUCAAACCCCUACGCGUAAUGAAAGUGAACGCAGGUGAGAGCUUCGGCGCAUCAUCGACCGAUCCUGAUGUUCUCGGAUGGAUUUGAGUAAGAGCAUACGGGGCCGGACCCGAAAGAAGGUGAACUAUGCCUGUAUAGGGUGAAGCCAGAGGAAACUCUGGUGGAGGCUCGCAGCGGUUCUGACGUGCGAAUCGAUCGUCAAAUAUGGGCAUGGGGGCGAAAGACUAAUCGAACCUUCUAGUAGCUGGUUUCCGCCGAAGUU